This is a non-coding RNA of Nothobranchius furzeri (turquoise killifish), 1194 nucleotides long. The record is from RefSeq and is a predicted model, not a curated record. NCBI's taxonomy places the organism in Eukaryota, Metazoa, Chordata, Actinopteri, Cyprinodontiformes, Nothobranchiidae.
AACAAAAAUUAUUAAGGUUCUAAUGUCCAACCAGAUCGGUUAUAUUUUUAACCAUUUGUUUAAAAAUAUAACCGAUCUUCUACCAAGUGCCCACCCAGUGUUUUGUCAAAAUAUAUUGGUAAAGUUGUAUAGAUAAAUAAAUGAAAUUAGUUCAAUAAUUUUAUUUUAUUUAUUUACUUUUUUGCUGAUAGUGCCGUGAAAUAGGUAUUAAUUUUCCAUAUGGCUUUAGAAAGAUCUUAAACAGACUUAAAUUUAAGUUGAAGAAACCUGUAGGAACACUUUUAUAGCUUUGGGGAGAUAUGUUGUGUAGUCAUGAUUACUUUUUGGUGGAAAAUAUAUUUUACAGGGGGAAAUAUGUUAGUUUUUUAAGCUUUUUAUGUUCGUAUCUGAGUUCUACACCUGAUGGGCUUUAUUAUUAUGGUUAGAGUGCUAAUCUGAUAUGUGUAAUUAUAUAAACAUUUUGCUCAGUCAAGUGUCAACAGAAUAACAUGAAUGUUUUCAUAGUGAAUGAAUGUUGUCAUUGUAUCACCAAGGUCUGAGGAAGACAGGGUGCAGGCACGAAAAAGACGGAGAGAGGAAAGAGUAAAACAGGGCCUGGAAGUGGUCCCUCCUAAGAAGUCCUGCCAUACUGAAUUAGUCUGUGCAGCAUCAGGAGAAUUCUCUGCUUGAGGACACCUUUGAGGCAGCAAGGUGGUGUACCACAAGGUCCUUCAAAGGAAGCCUUUCCCUUCCCCAGGUCAUCACCAUGGACAGGGAAGCUUGCCGGAGGGCAGUGGAGAGGUUAUGCUUCUGUGAUGGCCUGGAUGAAGAGGAGAUGAACGAUUGCAGGGAACCGUUCCUGUUCAUGUUUAGUUUUCAGUCAGACUAUGAGGAGUUCUGCAGAGAAAUUGAGGAAAAAAGGAAGAUGAAGGUGUUUUCUGGUUUUGAAAUGCCAUAGUACAGCGGUGUCACAGUUUUUGCAUUCUUUUUCCUCCUCACAUUGUUUUUUUGGAGGUUCUCUUGUUUUUUGUGUGCUUUUUGGUUCAUUUGUUUGUACUUUUUUUUAUUCCUGUGUUGGCUGUUGUUUGCUCUAUUAAAUUUACCUUUUUUGAAAAAUUUAGUCUGCAUUCUUGGGUGUCUCACACAAUGUCUCACCACCCCGCCUCAAACCCUGGCGUGUUUUAAGAAGUAUCAGCACAAUUUAAGUUUCUGUUC